RNAcentral lists this ribosomal RNA (460 nucleotides) under uncultured bacterium. RNAcentral describes it as "partial 16S ribosomal RNA". It matches the Rfam family "Bacterial small subunit ribosomal RNA", at positions 338 to 795 of the family's 1533-position model. The record is from RNAcentral.
CCUACGGGGAGCAGCAGUGAGGAAUAUUGGUCAAUGGACGAGAGUCUGAACCAGCCAAGUAGCGUGAAGGAUGACUGCCCUAUGGGUUGUAAACUUCUUUUAUAUGGGAAUAAAAUGUUCCACGUGUGGGAUUUUGUAUGUACCAUAUGAAUAAGGAUCGGCUAACUCCGUGCCAGCAGCCGCGGUAAUACGGAGGAUACGAGCGUUAUCCGGAUUUAUUGGGUUUAAAGGGAGCGUAGGUGGAUUGUUAAGUCAGUUGUGAAAGUUUGCGGCUCAACCGUAAAAUUGCAGUUGAAACUGGCAGUCUUGAGUACAGUAGAGGUGGGCGGAAUUCGUGGUGUAGCGGUGAAAUGCUUAGAUAUCACGAAGAACUCCGAUUGCGAAGGCAGUUCACUGGACUGCAACUGACACUGAGGCUCGAAAGUGUGGGUAUCAAACAGGAUUAGAUACCCUGGUAGUC